RNAcentral lists this ribosomal RNA (424 nucleotides) under uncultured bacterium. RNAcentral's name for it is "bacterial SSU rRNA". It matches the Rfam family "Bacterial small subunit ribosomal RNA", at positions 359 to 775 of the family's 1533-position model. The record is from RNAcentral.
GAAUUUUGGACAAUGGGCGCAAGCCUGAUCCAGCCAUUCCGCGUGAGUGAAGAAGGCCUUCGGGUUGUAAAGCUCUUUCGCAAGGGAAGAAAACUUACAUUCUAAUAAAGUGUGAGGCUGACGGUACCUUGAUAAGAAGCACCGGCUAACUACGUGCCAGCAGCCGCGGUAAUACGUAGGGUGCGAGCGUUAAUCGGAAUUACUGGGCGUAAAGCGUGCGCAGGCGGUUUGGCAAGUCAGAUGUGAAAUCCCCGAGCUCAACUUGGGAACUGCGUUUGAAACUGCCAGACUAGAAUAUGUCAGAGGGGGGUAGAAUUCCACGUGUAGCAGUGAAAUGCGUAGAGAUGUGGAGGAAUACCAAUGGCGAAGGCAGCCCCCUGGGAUAAUAUUGACGCUCAUGCACGAAAGCGUGGGGAGCAAACAG